UACGGAGGUGGCAAGCGUUGCUCGGAAUCACUGGGCGUAAAGGGCGCGUAGGCGGGGAGGUAAGUCGGGUGUGAAAUCCCUCGGCCCAACCGAGGAACUGCGCCCGAGACUGCUUCUCUUGAGUCCCGGAGAGGAAGGUGGAAUUCCCGGUGUAGCGGUGAAAUGCGUAGAUAUCGAGAGGAACACCUGCGGCGAAGGCGGGUUGCUGGGCUGACACUGACGCUGAUGCGCGAAAGCCAGGGGAGCGAACGGG
RNAcentral lists this ribosomal RNA (253 nucleotides) under uncultured bacterium. RNAcentral describes it as "partial 16S ribosomal RNA". It matches the Rfam family "Bacterial small subunit ribosomal RNA", at positions 524 to 776 of the family's 1533-position model. The record is from RNAcentral.